UGGGGCGUCGUCUAAUUGGCAGGACACUGGACUUUGGCUCCAGCAGUGUAGGUUCGAGUCCUACCGCCCCAGCCA
RNAcentral lists this transfer RNA (75 nucleotides) under Fervidobacterium sp. RNAcentral describes it as "tRNA-Gln". It matches the Rfam family "tRNA". Rfam says of the family: Transfer RNA (tRNA) molecules are approximately 80 nucleotides in length. The record is from RNAcentral. Lineage: Bacteria; Thermotogati; Thermotogota; Thermotogae; Thermotogales; Fervidobacteriaceae.